AGCCCGGUGGUGUAAUGGUAGCACAACUGAUUCUGGUUCAGUUUGUCGGGGUUCAAAUCCCUGCCGGGCUGCCA
This 74-nucleotide transfer RNA is filed under the name Puniceicoccus vermicola. RNAcentral's name for it is "tRNA-Gln". It matches the Rfam family "tRNA". Rfam says of the family: Transfer RNA (tRNA) molecules are approximately 80 nucleotides in length. The record is from RNAcentral. Lineage: Bacteria; Pseudomonadati; Verrucomicrobiota; Opitutia; Puniceicoccales; Puniceicoccaceae. RNAcentral also lists the same sequence under 1 other name.